GGUGGACCAGGUCCACUUUUGAGUUGUCAUUCUUCGCAGCACGCCGUGCAUCAUCGAUGCCGAAUAUCGUCGCAGCUGUAAUGCUUGACUGCUCAGCAGAAGUAACCGGCUUGGAGCCAGCGCUCUUGAUGAGCUGGUAGCGCAGGUUCCUCUGGCUCACGUCCUCAACUCUGGCCCUCAGCUCCUUCAUCUGCUUGGCGAUGCGGCGCCGCUCUUGCAACGUGCGAGGAAGGCGCCACCAAGAUGGCUUGUGGAGAUGAACAGAGAAAUCCUGGAGGCAGUCCUCCGCAUCGUAGGCCACGUCUCGGACUUGUUUCACCCAGGUCAUGAGCACGUCAUGGUUGUCCCGCUCGUCGUGCGCAGCCCUCAUAAAGGCUUGCAUCAUCGCGAGCUCGUCCCUGAUGAAAGCAUGAUCGCGCUGGAUCCCGAGCUGCAAGGCCACCUCCUCCGCGACAGCGGAUUUGGCGUAGCCAAGCGCUCCAUCCAGCACGGACUUGCCCACGCUCAGCGCCGUCGCCUCCAUGGCUCUCUUCUCGGGUGUGCUGUGUGGUGUGGAUGGGUGUGGAAAUGCUUGGUGCCAGUCCACAAGCCAACCAUUUGGUUAAAAAGGUGAACUCAACAACUAGAGGACCGAGCAAGUUGAAAUUUUUCAUGAAGACUUGUACUUAGUGUAGCAGUUCCUCAAGUCGUACCAAAUUAAUUUAGUGGUAGGCUAUGUUAAUUAAGUGGUAGGCUAGUAUUGAGAUGCACGCAAGAGAGCUGUUGGUCCAAGCUUGCAGCGCGUUGACUCUGUUGCACAUGUUGGCACGAGCAAACUACACACCUAAGCACGCAGCUUGCUAUUUUCUUUAAGAAAAGCUGCACAUGUUGGCAACCAUUAUGAUCGUUAUGAAUCGAUUGAAGCGCAGAUGCCAUCUCAUUGUCAACGGGACCGGAGCUAGAGAAGAAUAAAGGGGCGUGCGACACCUUCAAGGCAUACAUAGACAUUUAAUUUAACAUGAUGAAAAUUUCGAGCGAUAGCAAACUAUGAGUUUUUUCUACGUGCGGCAGCACCCGGCACUUAUAACCUAGCUCUGCCCCUGGUUGUCAAGGAUAAGAACAUUUGGAAUCAACUGAAACAUCAUAAGAAGCUAGCCCAAAAAGCAAAAGCAACGCACAAACCUACAGACAAGCUGCUCUGUGGUAGGGGAGAAAACUUCAGCAAAACACUAAAGCUUCUAUGCAGAGUAAAAAAUUAGAUCCUUCCUUCUUCUCGAGUCAAUUCCAUGGAUGGACACAUGUGAGAAUGCAUCCACAACUUGUAGCGAAGCAUGUGACCUUGUAUGUGAGAGCAAGCCCCACGUGCCUGCACUAGCAAAGAUUCCAGGCAGCUUAGAUUGGCAACGACUGAACAGAACUCCUGGCCGGUUUUCUUGCUGAUGCCGGUCACAGCUAACUUGCCUUGUCCCAUGCAGAGAUUCACAGGACCCAAUGUGUGCAGGGCUUUUAGUUUCCCGAUCCCUCUUGGCAUCCAAGUUGGACUUUCCAUUGUCAUCAUCAGAAGAGGGAAGAACCAGCAGCAACAUAUAGUGCACCUAUUAAUGUGACCACCGGCCCGUUACGUGAAACUCUUUUAAGAAGAUGAGGUGCACAACAUGCAACACAAAAUCCGAGCAACCAACCCGUACAAAUGCAUGGCUUGUUAUUCACUAUUUUGGCACUUCUUCUAACGGACUAUUAAAUGAUUUAUCAUCCUUUCCAAGAUAUUGUAGAUUCUUGAGUUUGGUGAUAGUCUUGGGCAGCUUUAAUAUCUCUGUCUCUGAAAUAUCUAGUGUUUCUAGUUGCUUUAGAUUACCGGCCCACCAACGAAUCUGACAAGUGAAAAAUACCAGUACAUCCUCUUAGAGAGAGGUCUCUGAGGUGAAGAAGCUUCCCAAUAUGCUCUAGGUGAUGAUUAAACAGACCUGAUGUGCCUUCCAAGUCCAGCACACGCAAGAACCUCAUCUUGUCAGAAAUGAAAAAGGACCUCCAGAGAACUCCUCUGCCAACUCUUUUCCUGUCUUCUUGGUCUCCAACAGAACAUCAACCCCCACGGCUGAUCGGAAGUACUGCUUCACUAAGCUUUGGAUGAAGUCAUUCGGAUUGAAGGGAUGCGAGAUCCUUACCCAUGCCCGGCACGAAAACUUCUUUUUGACAUCUGGAUUCUCGUAGGCCGUGUUGAUGAUGGAUGUCUGCCCAAGAUCACCGCUGGUUCCCCACACUGCGAUCACUCUAAGAUCCUCGCCCGGUGAUUCAGCACUUCUGGCAGGAUCAUCGAGGAGAGGCGGCGUCGAUUAAGCCCGGAGAUGGUGGAGAUGCUCUCUUGCGUCAAGGACUGCGAAGCUGCAGAAGCAAGACUUCAGAAUAUCUUGGAGGAUCAAGAACUUGAGGAAAAUUUUGCUAAUUUGUAUCUAAAUGUCCCUGCUGAUUCAUAGGUGUAAAACUUGGCCUGUAAUAACUUGAACUCCUAUAAUAUUGAUUUGAUUGAGCUAGGCUGUACUCUUUUUUCCUAUCUAGGGUUUCUCACGAGGUGUGAGUUUUACCUAGAUAGGUUUUUAAUGAGGCAACCAUUGCACUAGCUCAAACUUAUAAUCUCUUGUUUCUCUCUAUGAUGUGGUGGAAGGAAUAACUGUUAGAAGUGGAAGGAAUAAACAAGAUUUUCAACCAGCAUGUCUAGAGAUUAUAAGUUUCUCUCUGUGCCGUGGUGGCCUUCGAAAGGGAAUCGAUAUGGAAAACCAAAACACAGUGGUGAAAUGUAUCAUGUAAAUAAAACUCUUUAUUGCAUUAAAAAAACAAUGGGCUAAAACUGAACCGGGCCGGAACAACAACGAGGCAAGCUGAACCGUGCGUGGUUCUGUAUUUUCACAUGCAUGUUGUUCCACGUUGGCUCUGCCGCAAUGUGGUCAUUCUCUCUGGUUUUAUGGGAAUAAGCAAUGCCUAUGCAGGGGUUGCUGGCCUGUGCCUGAUCGCCGUAGAGCCGCUGCCAAUGGUGCCAGUGGACAAGCUAAAAUACUACUCCAGCAAAGCACGAAAAAUUGUGUGGCCUGCAAUGGAGUACCGUGCAUUUCCUCUAUUGAUAAUGGCAGGGACGCAAGGGAGCUGCAACAUCACUUGCAAAGAAAAAUGAUGGCAAACCAACUCAAGCAUACACAAUCAGCAACCCUGCAGAUCAUUGUGGUGAACGUUCAUACAAAUGACCUGUACAGUUAUUCAUAUAUAGUCCACACCAGUCUUUGUAGCCCAAUUACUGAACUGAUGAACAUUAUUUCACUUCUAUCAGGCGAUGCAGGAUGGAGCAGCACGCCAGUUAUUCUUAUUUGGCACAACCAUAAGCACAGACGAACAAAACAAAAAACAGAGGAUUCAGAGACGCCGCACUAGGCCCACAGGAUACUGACACGAUCGACCUUAGCUACAUGCGUUAAAAAGAAAUACAUCAGCAGUAGGACUGGAGAUUAAUUUUACACACACAUCAAUUGUUCAGAUGCACAAAGAGGGUAACAGGGAAGCAGCAAGAGCAAUGACCUGGCACGACGAUCGGCUGACUCUGCAGCACCUCACCACCUCUUCAAAGCGGGUCCAUUUGGAUUGGCACCAAGCUGGCCCUGCAGGUCUUCCAUGAAAGCGUGCUCAUAAGUUUUGCUGUCCAGCAUAAAUUCCUUGAGGCUCCGGAGCAAUGGUAGCCCGGAAAACAUCCCUGUGUUGGUUUCUUCAAGCUUGCCACGAAAAUCCAGCCGCUCAAGCCGAAGCAUUGCCCCUUCUUCAAACUCCACGGAUUUCAGGCCAUCUAUGUCAUUUAGCUCCAGCACUAUCAGACUCGGGAAUGCCUCCGGAUGGAAGGUGAAACGGAGGUCGUCAACCUGGAACGACUUCGCCCACAAACAUAAGCUGACCAGGUUUGGAAGCUUCCCAAGAACUUGGAGUGCAGGUUCGUGUUCCAGUAUUCUAGAGCUCCUUAGAACCAACUUCACAAGAUUCUUGAGCCCCUCGACCCAUCCUGGCAAUUUGAGCAGAUUGCCGUAUAUCUUGAGGCUUUGCAGGUUUUUUGGAGCGGAGGUCAAGCCAUCUAAACAGCCAUGCACACCUGGCAUCCCACGUGAUGCCACUAGCAACGAUUCCAGGUAGCUGAGAUUGGCAACGACUGAACACAAUUCCUGGCUGUUUUCUUUGUUAAUGCCAGUCACAGCUAACUUGCGCAACUGGGUCAGUCCUUUUAUGUCUCGUAGAAUUGCUUUGUCCCAUGCGAGAUUCACAAGACCCAAUGUGCGCAGGGAUUUUAGUUUCCCUAUCCCUCUUGGCAUCCAAGUUGGACCUUCUCUUGCCAUCAGAAGAGGGAAGAACCAGCAGCAACACUGAGUGCAUACAUCACACCUAUUCAUGUCACUAUCCACAACCAUAACCUCUUUAAGAAGUUGAGGUGCGCAACAUGCCACGCAAAAUCCUAGCAACCAACCCAUACAAAUGCAUGGCCUGUUAUUCGCUACUUUUGGCAGUUCUUCAAACGCAUGUAAUGAAUCAUCAUCCUUUCCAACAGUCCCAGCACGAAGAUAUUGUAGCUUCUUGAGCUUGGUGAUGAUCUUGGGCACCUUUAAAAUCGUUGUCGCUGAAAUAUCUAGUGUUUCUAGUUGCUUUAGAUUACCCAACGAAUCUGAUAGGUGAAAAAUAUAAUCACAUCCCCUUAGAGAAAGGUAUCUGAGGUGAAGAAGCUUCCCAAUAUGUUCUAGGUGAUGACUAGCCAGACCUGACGUGCCUUCCAAGUCCAGCACACGCAAGAACCUCAUCUUGUCAGAAAUGAAAAAGGAUCUCCACUUCCCAAACACUGUUAACGAGCGUAUGCGGGACAGAUCCACUUUGUUCUCAAACUCACUCUUAUCUGCUUCCCAGUUCGUGCUUAUGACAAGGUGGCGAACUGUGCCUUGGGUGUUUGAGCUGCAACCUUCCUCCAUUCUAAAAACGAGAUUUUCUUCUGUUGACUUUGAGAUGCUAAUCUCACGCAUGAGAUCAUGGACUUGGCAAGAGUCAAUUCCUUUUCUACUAUUAACUGAUAGCCGAGAAGGUAGGAUCAUGCUCCUCUCUAUUAGUUCCAUGAAGUAGUUGUCAGCUACUUCUUCUGGGGACUUAUCUCGAAUCUCCCUUGAGUAACCUUCUGCACUCCACCGUCGUAUCAAACGUCUUCGUCUAAUCUUGUGAUCUUCAGGGAAGAUGGAUGUAUAUAGGAAACAAGACUUAAGAUGAUAUGGUAGACCAUCAUAACUUUUACCAAGAAUUGUUUUUAUGGCCCCAAGCUCCGGGUUCAUUUCCAAUUCAGCACUAAUAUGCUCGUUCAAUUUCCUCCACUCUACCGCUACUUUUGGUUGCUUUGCCAAGAAGCCUCCGAUGGUGACUAUUGCAAGGGGAAGUCCAUUGCACUUCUUCAAGAUCAUUUUUGCUUCUUUGAUCAAUUCAGGAUGCUUAUCCAAAUCUUUGGCCUCCUUAAACACCUGAAAUCAUUGGAGUUAAGUUACUUGAAAUUGAAAUAUGUAUGAAUGGUCUAUGUAGUUUCUUAGGAAAAAGUUUAAAUUACUCCGCUCAAAUAUAGCAAAAGUAUGGAUUACCCCUUAAACUAUUUGUGGUUUAAUUCACCCCCUAAACUAUUCUUUUUUGUUCAAUUUACCCCAUACUAAAUUUGUCUUUAUUUUCCUCCAUACAUAAGUUGAAUUUUAAUUUAAGAUUUUGCAAGGUGGUAGUACACAUCAGAAUCUAUGUUAAAAAAAUGUAUUAUGAAUUUUUUAUCAUUAUUUUCAUAUAUUUUUGUAUCUCAAGGAUAGAUUUACUAUUACAUGUCCUAUCUUAUCAAAAUAAUGCUAAAUAAUUCAUGAUGUAUUUUUCUAACAUGUCUUAUGAUGUAUGCUAUCAUCUUGCAAAAUUUUAACUUAAGAAUCCAUUUGUGCAUGGAGAAAUAAAAAAAAGACAAAUCGUAUUAGGGGGUAAAUUGAACCAAAUGGUAUAGUUUAGGGGGUAAACUGAACCAACAAAUACAUUAUGGGGUUAUGCAGACUUUAGUGAUACUUGAGAGGAGUAAUUUGGAUUUUUUCCUUGCUAGAAUGGCUAGGGUACAAUUACAAUCUUAUGGCUAUGCAAGCAUAGAAUUAUGGUUAUGUUGUCGUUAUAUUGUAAUGAAAGCUCCACACGAAUGGCAGAAUUAUACUGUAAUAGUACCUUUCUUGUGAAGAGGUCUUGUGCAUCCUUGUAUUCAAGAACUUUGAGCUUGUAUAUGUUUUCUAGUUUCUCUGAACAAUAUUUUGCUAUACUCUCUUCCCUUGUGGUCACUAAGAUCCGGAAUGAACUAUCCAAUUUAGGGAGGCUUCCAAGUAUAUUGUCCCAUUCCGCUAUGGAUGAAAGAUCAUCAAGAACAAUCAAGCACUUCUUCCCUUCAAGAAGCCUAGCUAACUCUUUAGUUAAUGCUUCAACUCUCAUCAUUGCUACUGUGUUUCUUGUGCCAUGCCCAACAUCUAUUGCUCCCUUCUUUCCAGAAGAUUGUGCAUUUAGUUGCAUAAUUAAGUUCUCAAGGAACUCCUUAAGAAUGAAAGGGCGCAUCACCGUAACACAAGCAUGCUUCUCAAAUAUGCCAACUUGCUUUUGGCUUUCAUAAACAUCUUUGACUAGAGCAGUUUUACCAAGACCACCCAUUCCCCACACUGAGAUCACUGAAAGCCCUUGACUAGAUGGAUUUGAAAUGAGCUGGAUGAUAUCAGCCUUUUCUUUCUGUCGACCGAUAAGUUGUGAUUCCUCCAAAGCACUUACCAUAGUUUUGAUGUGGGUAAGGCUCUUUGUGAAUACCUUUCUCUCAUCGCCACCUUGAGAUUGAUUUCCCACUAUCACAUUGGUGCCGCUUCUAGCUUUGUCUGUGCUAGACACUGCAACUGGAGAUUUUAUUUGAUCUUGACAAUCCUAUAUAAAAGUAAACUAGACUUUUAAACUUGUUGAUGUUUAAAUAGUAUUUUCACUCGAAUAAGGAAAGUCUCUAGAAUAAAUUCAUAUAAUUUAUAAUGGGAAGACAACCAUUGCUUGAGUAAUUUAAAAGAAACAAAACUCAAUUAAUUAUGCAAGAAUGGAAUUAUAACAUAUAUGAGGCUAGCAGCCUGCCCAAAAUGAAUGAGGCCUUUAGAUACUGCAAGAUUAUUAUAGGACAAUAUUUUAGCUUUUAUUUAACAUAUUAUUACUAAUUAUAAGUGCUCUAGAAAAAGAGAUGAAUCUUAGAAAGUCUCACGAAACUCAAAACAUCUGAACAUCAAUUUCAUAGACUCAACCUUUGUUGACAACAAUGGCCAUAUAGGAUAUAAUUUGCACACAAAAUGACCUACCUCUACCAUUACAAAAAUAAGAAUAAAGUAAUUCUCCCUUCAUCCCAAAUUAUAGGCCGUUUUAGCUUUUCUAGGUUCAUAGGUGUUUGUAUGCAUCUAAAUAUAGUGUGUGUCUAGAUACAUACAAACACUUAUGAACCUAGAAAAGCCAAAACGACCUAUAAUUUGAAACGGAGAGAGUAUUCUAAAUCAGUAUCUAAAUUACACACCUCUAUCAUUAUAAACAAGAAUUCAAAUGCCUCCAAAUUCUCUCUGUAAAUGAGCCACCUCUACCACUAAGAAAAUAAACCCAAAGUAACCCUAAAUUUGUAUCUAAAUUGCCAACUUAUGUUGUGAAUAAGAAUUUAAACAACACAUUAAAUCUACGUCAAGGUUAUCCACACUUUAUUAUUAAGAACAAUCUAAAGCUAUUCUUUAAAUCUGUAUCAAAAUUGCUCAACUCUAUCAUUAUAAAUAAAACAACCCAAAGUAUGUCCUAUUAAUACUUCUAAAUUGAUCAUUUAUGUCACUAUUAAUAUAUGAAAAAACUAACUCAAAGUAUAUGCAUUCAUAAUGCGUGCCACGUACGGACCACAUAAGCAUGCAUGCACUAAUCAAUAGGCAUAUUGAUUUACAACGAUUUACGCAAUAAUUAAAGAUGUUUAUGUCAUGUGCUUGGGCGCAUGGGUUUAACAACUGGCCCAAUAGGAUCCGACAGGACCUGUCGUGGUAUUUUUCACAUCAUGAACAAUAUCCAUGGGUACUGUAGCACCCCAUCGUUGAUAUUUCAUCUAGGUUAGGGUUUAGGAAGAGUCUGAAAAUUAGGAUCCACUGCCAUUGACCCUAAUACCAGAAGCAAUGGGUCCACCUCCAACGGCUACAGUGUCAUAGUCCACUCUGUCAUCUACAUCCACCACUGCACCAAUGGGCCGUGACCGCCUCUACUACAACCUACAUCUACGUCAGCAAUCUCUUCUACCUUGGAUGCCUCCAAAGACAACAAGUCUACAACAAGUCAAUCCUCAUCGACUUCAUCCUUCAUCGACAACUCCGCAUCAUGACAGUUACUAGCGAUGGUGAGCGUAAGUCCUAUCACAGGAAUCGUUAGGACAUCACCGAGCAAGCCCACAGCUUGGAUGAUCAGCCCGCGGACGAUUACUUCCAUUACUACACCGCCAAUCUCCUCUAAGCACCUCAAUCGGCAAGCACUCCACGAGAUAGGAAUCAGGCAUUUCUUUUCACCACUAGUGGUGGGAAUUAGACGACCAAUUCGGGCUCCUCCACCACAAGUGGUUGUGUUGAUUCCCGGUCCUCCUCCCAUGCGCCACAUAAAACUAUUCAUCGGCAACCUCAACAUCAAUGGUGAAUAAAUGCGCCAACGCAACAUUGUACUCCAGGUACAAUAGCUAGGCCGCAUCUUCCUCAACAAUGGUGGGUGUCAACAAACUACCCCAACCACAACAUGCGCCACACACGAAUAUACGAUUGAUGCUACAUGAACAAAGGUGAUAAGUGCUAUUUGUGCUAUGUGCUAUUCGUGCUAUGUGCUAUUCGAGUCAAACAAGAUCAUGGGCGUCCAACCCUUUAUCCUUGUAAUAGAUGGGCACACAUCUCCACCCCUCAUCUCUAUUGCUUUGACAAGCAACGUAAUGACACUGGUAGUAUAUGCAAAUCAACAGGCCAUCAGUAACAGUAGCUGGAACAUAACUGACGGGAGAAGCAGCAACAUGAACGCUUCAUUUACUACAAGCUACCCUCAACAUUAGCCACAAAAUCCAUGGCGUCACCACUCCACCAAGACAAUCCACUACCGUCAACUUCCUACCACUGCUCGUGUGUUGAUGUUCUUUCACAAGGAGGUGACAAAACCAGCAAAUCAACUAACCAGAGCUUCUCACCAUGGGUCACCUCAGGCAGCAACUGUGGCCACCACCUAUCUGGGAGGACCUUCGUUCCUCUACAGAAAUAAAGGGCAACAACUAUGACAUCAAUUCCAACAACAACAUGAGGCGGACGUUGGCUCUGCAAGGAGCAAACAAUGAGCGACAGCACGAGGGCGUGUUGUGUGGAAAAGAGGGGGGACAUGUCAUGUACUUAGGGCACUUGGGUUCAACAACUAGCCCAAUAGGGUUUGACAGGACCAACAACGACCCAAGAGGUUCCCUCGUGGUAUUGUCCACAUCAUCAACAGUACCACACGGGUAGUGUAGCACCGCCUUGUCGAGAUUUUGUCUAGAUUAGGAUUUAGGAAGACUCUGAAAAUUAGGAUUGCUUUAAAUCAAGUCGAGUUAGGUUUGCUUGUAAAUAAAGUUGCGUCCUCGCCAUAAAUGUCAGGGAAAUAUUUGGAUGAUUCAAGCAUAUAAUAUUAGGGUUUAGUCCCCUCUGCCUUUUGGCUUAAACAGCUCUCUCACCCCCAUGCUGCCGCUGCUGGCUCCCACCUCCUCCUAGGUGUGGCUGGCCCUAGGCAAGGACGGAUCUAGGAUGGCUGGAUAGGGGGGCUUAUUUUCUUCUUCCUCCUCAUUCCUUUUCUUCUUCUUCUUCCUCCUUUCCUCCUCUUCAUCCAUGGCUGAAAAUUGUUGGGGGCUUGGGGGGCUCCAUGAACUGCAUGGGGGUAGGGGGCUCCAGCCCCCACACUGGAUCCACCCCUGGCACUAGGGCUACCGCACUCUACCUUUCUGAUCCUAUCUUCCUUCUAAUCUCCUCUCAAACCAGUAAGGAGAUCCGCAAGCUUGACAGUUUCCUUAAUGAUCCAUAGUACAAUGGCAAUGGCAAUCCAUGUUAAGUACUUAAGUUAUAUUACAAUACUUCAUGAAAAGAAUUAAUAAAGUUGCUACUUUAGAUAAAUGUAUUUCAUUUUUAAUGACAACAUUAUAGCAUCUACAUUGAUAGUUUGAUUGCGAGAACUCUAAUUAUUUACUCCCUCAAACUACGUUUAGAAUGUAUUUUUUAACAUAAGUUAUAAUAUCCUAUGUCAUCCCACAAAAUGUUACCUUAAAACUCAAUUGGUACAUGCUCAAUAGAGAUAGAUUGGAUCAAUUGAAAUAGUUUGGGGAGUAAAUUGAGCUGAAUAUUUUCUUCGGGUGGCUUGUUUAGGGUAAUAAAUUAACUUCUUUGUUUAGUAAAAUAUAUAACUACACUCAUAUUUUUUCUAUAGAGAAAAUUUAACAUUUCAGGCAAUGUUCGCUGAAAAGCCUAUUUGUUCAUUCCUGUUCUAUAACCAUUAUACUUCUUAUGCUAGCCUGUACAACAGCAUGGGUUGAUGGAUUCAUUCUUACUAAUAAAAAUUGAUACAUUCUUUCCUAUACCUACAAAUAUGGCAUUUAAUAUUGGAUACCACAACUUGAAUCGUUAAAACCAUCUGAGAUAUUAAUGAAGAAAAAAUAUAUAACAAGAGCUAACAACAAUUUGAUGAUUUUUGAAGGAAGAAUAGUACCUUCUCAUAGAAAGCAUAAAUAGUCUGAUCAAUGGACAACUGCUUGAGCUCCAAUGCUUGGCUUUCCUGCCCUGCACACAAGCUUGCAACUUCAACUUGUGGGCUGCAAACUAUGAUUCGGCUCCCUUUCUUGUGGUUGGGGAGACAUGCUUUAAUCCCAUUCCAUUCUUCAAAGGUGGACAUGUCAUUGAGCACAAUUAGGUAACUAUUCUCGUUUAUAUAUCUGGUGAACUCCUUAGCCAACUCUUUCCCUGUCUUCUCGGUCUCCAACAAAACAUCAAUCCCCAUGGCAGAUCGAAACUGCUUCACUAAGCUUUGGAUGAAGUCAUUCAGAUUGAAUGGAUGAAAGACCCUAACCCAUGCUCGGCAUGGAAACUUCUUUUUGAUAACUGGAUUCUCGUAAGCCGUGUUGACAAUGGUUGUCUGCCCAAGAUCACCACUGGUUCCCCAUACUGCGAUAACUCUAAGAUCCUUGCCCUCCUGGUUGAUGAGGUCAACAAGAUCCUCUUUUGGUUUGUCAUGCUUCGCAGCACGCCGUGCUUCAUCGAUGCCAAAUAUUGCUGCAGCUUUAUUGCUGGAUAGCUCAGCGGUGGUAUCAGGCUUGGAACCACCCCUCUUGAUGAGAUGGUAGCGCAGGUUCCUCUGGCUCACAUCCUCAACUCUGGCCCUCAACUCCUUCAUCUGCUUGGCGAUGCGGUGUCGCUCUAGCAACGUGCUAGGAAGGCGCCACCAAGAUGGCUUCUUGAGAUGGAUGGAAAAAUCUUGAAGGCAGUCCUCCGCAUC
RNAcentral lists this long non-coding RNA (11556 nucleotides) under Setaria viridis. RNAcentral's name for it is "long non-coding RNA (SVIR_LNC007506)". Lineage: Eukaryota; Viridiplantae; Streptophyta; Magnoliopsida; Poales; Poaceae. The record is from RNAcentral.